This is a long non-coding RNA of Sinocyclocheilus anshuiensis, 217 nucleotides long. RefSeq lists it as uncharacterized. Lineage: Eukaryota; Metazoa; Chordata; Actinopteri; Cypriniformes; Cyprinidae. The record is from RefSeq and is a predicted model, not a curated record. The transcript is spliced from 4 exons.
GUAGACAUUGGACAGCUCACAAAGAAAGAGCAGAGAAAGGCCAGGUUGGAGUGUGAUCAAGAAUGUGCUACACUGGAGAGGAACAGGCGGCUGGCUGAGGCCCUGCAGAUUGAUCAGUCAGUGGAUACCUUCAACAAGUCAACGUCUUCCAAAUAUAGUGACUCUCUCAAAGAAGAUGCAAGGGAAGAUUUCAAGUUUGUCAGUGAAAUUGAGGAGA